RNAcentral lists this long non-coding RNA (3187 nucleotides) under Homo sapiens (human). RNAcentral's name for it is "non-protein coding lnc-IL9R-1:5". Lineage: Eukaryota; Metazoa; Chordata; Mammalia; Primates; Hominidae. The record is from RNAcentral.
CAGCAGGUAGAGCAGAGCCGGAGCCAGGUGCAGGCCAUUGGAGAGAAGGUCUCCUUGGCCCAGGCCAAGAUUGAGAAGAUCAAGGGCAGCAAGAAGGCCAUCAAGGUGUUCUCCAGUGCCAAGUACCCUGCUCCAGAGCGCCUGCAGGAAUAUGGCUCCAUCUUCACGGGCGCCCAGGACCCUGGCCUGCAGAGACGCCCCCGCCACAGGAUCCAGAGCAAGCACCGCCCCCUGGACGAGCGGGCCCUGCAGGAGAAGCUGAAGGACUUUCCUGUGUGCGUGAGCACCAAGCCGGAGCCCGAGGACGAUGCAGAAGAGGGACUUGGGGGUCUUCCCAGCAACAUCAGCUCUGUCAGCUCCUUGCUGCUUUUCAACACCACCGAGAACCUGUAUGGCCAGAAGGCAGGGCCGAGGGGUGUGGGCGGGAGGCCCGGCCUGGCUUAGUGGGGACCCAGGGCAUCAGACACAGGUACAGCACAUAGGCCAGGAGCCAGGGGGUGACUGGGGUGGCUCGGCUCGGGAGGCCUGGGACCCCACAGUGCACGCUGUGCCCCUGAUGAUGUGGGAGAGGAACAUGGGCUCAGGACAGCGGGUGUCAGCUUGCCUGACCCCCAUGUCGCCUCCGUAGGUACAAGAAGUAUGUCUUCCUGGACCCCCUGGCUGGUGCUGUAACAAAGACCCAUGUGAUGCUGGGGGCAGAGACAGAGGAGAAGCUGUUUGAUGCCCCCUUGUCCAUCAGCAAGAGAGAGCAGCUGGAACAGCAGGUCCCAGAGAACUACUUCUAUGUGCCAGACCUGGGCCAGGUGCCUGAGAUUGAUGUUCCAUCCUACCUGCCUGACCUGCCCAGCAUUGCCAACGACCUCAUGUACAGUGCCGACCUGGGCCCCGGCAUUGCCCCCUCUGCCCCUGGCACCAUUCCGGAACUGCCCACCUUCCACACUGAGGUAGCCGAGCCUCUCAAGACCUACAAGAUGGGGUACUAACACCACCCCCACCGCCCCCACCACCACCCCCAGCUCCUGAGGUGCUGGCCAGUGCACCCCCACUCCCACCCUCAACCGCGGCCCCUGUAGGCCAAGGCGCCAGGCAGGACGACGGCAGCAGCAGCGCGUCUCCUUCAGGUGGGAGCAGCUCUUUGAGGCCACCUGAUUUCUGGCGUGCUCAGUGCACUCGGGUGGAUUUUCUGUGGGUUUGUUAAGUGGUCAGAAAUUCUCAAUUUUUUGAAUAGUUUCCAUUUCAAAUAUCUUGUUCUACUUGGUCCAUAAAAUAGUGGCUUUCAAACUGUAGAGCUCUGGACUUCUCACUUCUAGGGCAGAGGGAACCUGAACAAGUGAGGCUCUGGGUUCCCCAUUCCUAAUUAAACCAAUGGAAAGAAGGGGUCUAAUAACAAACUACAGCAACACAUUUUUCAUUUCAGCUUCACUGCUGUAUCUCCCAGUGUAACCCUAGCAUCCAGAAGUGGCACAAAACCCCUCUGCUGGCUCAUGUGUGCAACUGAGACUGUCAGAGCAUGGCUAGCUCAGGGGUCCAGCUCUGCAGGGUGGGGGCUAGAGAGGAAGCAGGGAGUAUCUGCACACAGGAUGCCCGCGCUCAGGUGGUUGCAGAAGUCAGUGCCCAGGCCCCCCCACACAGUCUCCAAAGGUCCGGCCUCCCCAGCGCGGGGCUCCUCGUUUGAGGGGAGGUGACUUCCCUCCCAGCAGGCUCUUGGACACAGUAAGCUUCCCCAGCCCUGCCUGAGCAGCCUUUCCUCCUUGCCCUGUUCCCCACCUCCCGGCUCCAGUCCAGGGAGCUCCCAGGGAAGUGGUCGACCCCUCCGGUGGCUGGGCCACUCUGCUAGAGUCCAUCCGCCAAGCUGGGGGCAUCGGCAAGGCCAAGCUGCGCAGCAUGAAGGAGCGAAAGCUGGAGAAGAAGAAGCAGAAGGAGCAGGAGCAAGGUGAGCGGGCCCUGGAGCCUGCGGUCGGAGGGCCUUGGGCAAGAUCGCCUCCUCCCCUCCAGCCCUGAGUCCACUGGGUGCUUUCUGCCCACCCCCUGCUCUUGCCAGCUGGCCCCUGCUUCCCCUAGGGCACAUGCUGGAAGCCCUGGGCCGCCACCAGAAGUCCUCAGCCCUCCUGCCUGGGCUAUGGCUCCUUCCUGGUUUGGGAGCCAUAGUGAAGCUUUCCUCUCUAAGCUCACCCAGCCCAAACUGUGACAGGAGAAUCUUCUUCGACUGCCAAGAGCGGUCCAAGGCAAUGGUCAGCCACUGCAGCCCCCUGAGAUAUUUUUAGAGACUGGACCUGAGGCCUCUGGAGGCUACUGAUGAUGCCUGCUGUGAACGCAGACACUGGUGUGAUGCGAUGCCUGCGCCUGCAGCGGCAGUGCCCUGGGCACUAUGGUUUUGAGCUUGUACCCAGCGCUGCUUUUGCCUUGCUCUGUGACCCCAGGCAAGCUGCCUCACCUCUCUGGGCCAGUUUCCCCAUCGUACAGUGGUGCUGCACACCCUGGCCCUGGCCCCGAGGUGGCUGGGAGGUGGCUCCUCAAACAGCCGCUUUCUCAUCAGUGCCCGGUGCUGGGUCAGGGAUCGACUGAGGCUCUGAGCUAACUAGGAAACACAGUGGCCUUGGAGGGCUGGGGAGUGUCAUGGGGGUGGGGACAGGGAGCCACCGGUCGCAUGUGACUGAACUCUUCACCCCAGUCUGUGGCUUUCCCGUUGCAGUGAGAGCCACGAGCCAAGGUGGGCACUUGAUGUCGGAUCUCUUCAACAAGCUGGUCAUGAGGCGCAAGGGCAUCUCUGGGAAAGGACCUGGGGCUGGUGAGGGGCCCGGAGGAGCCUUUGCCCGCGUGUCAGACUCCAUCCCUCCUGUGCCCCCACCGCAACAGCCACAGGCAGAGGAGGACGAGGACGACUGGGAAUCCUAGGGGGCUCCAUGACACCUUCCCCCCCAGACCCAGACUUGGGCUGUUGCUCUGACAUGGACACAGCCAGGACAAGCUGCUCAGACCUGCUUCCCUGGGAGGGGGUGACGGAACCAGCACUGUGUGGAGACCAGCUUCAAGGAGCGGAAGGCUGGCUUGAGGCCACACAGCUGGGGCGGGGACUUCUGUCUGCCUGUGCUCCAUGGGGGGACGGCUCCACCCAGCCUGCGCCACUGUGUUCUUAAGAGGCUUCCAGAGAAAACGGCACACCAAUCAAUAAAGAACUGAGCAGAAA